CUUGGAGUUUAUUUUCUACUCGGUGCAAGGCACGGGGUUAUGAAGGGUCAGGAAGGCUCUCAUGCGGCGUGGAUAAAAGAGUGCGGUUCUCUCAACUUCCUUUUUGGCGUUUUGCUGUUUUGAUAUUGAAGAACCCACCCGUUUCUGUUGGCUGUAGCCUGCUUAGCUCGGAAGAGCACAC
Vicugna pacos (alpaca) is the source of this 181-nucleotide non-coding RNA. NCBI's taxonomy places the organism in Eukaryota, Metazoa, Chordata, Mammalia, Artiodactyla, Camelidae. The record is from RefSeq and is a predicted model, not a curated record.